RNAcentral lists this ribosomal RNA (488 nucleotides) under uncultured bacterium. RNAcentral describes it as "partial 16S ribosomal RNA". It matches the Rfam family "Bacterial small subunit ribosomal RNA", at positions 30 to 507 of the family's 1533-position model. The record is from RNAcentral.
UUGAACGCUGGCGGCAUGCCUUACACAUGCAAGUCGAACGGCAGCAUGAUCUAGCUUGCUAGAUGAUGGCGAGUGGCGCACGGGUGAGUAAUACAUCGGAACGUGCCCUGUAGUGGGGGAUAACUAGUCGAAAGAUUAGCUAAUACCGCAUACGACCUGAGGGUGAAAGUGGGGGACCGCAAGGCCUCAUGCUAUAGGAGCGGCCGAUGUCUGAUUAGCUAGUUGGUGAGGUAAAGGCUCACCAAGGCGACGAUCAGUAGCUGGUCUGAGAGGACGAUCAGCCACACUGGGACUGAGACACGGCCCAGACUCCUACGGGAGGCAGCAGUGGGGAAUUUUGGACAAUGGGCGAAAGCCUGAUCCAGCAAUGCCGCGUGUGUGAAGAAGGCCUUCGGGUUGUAAAGCACUUUUGUCCGGAAAGAAAUGGCUCUGGUUAAUACCUGGGGUCGAUGACGGUACCGGAAGAAUAAGGACCGGCUAACUACGUG